RNAcentral lists this ribosomal RNA (334 nucleotides) under uncultured bacterium. RNAcentral's name for it is "bacterial SSU rRNA". It matches the Rfam family "Bacterial small subunit ribosomal RNA", at positions 28 to 361 of the family's 1533-position model. The record is from RNAcentral.
GACGAACGCUGGCGGCGUGCUUAACACAUGCAAGUCGAACGGAAAGGCCCUGCUUUUGUGGGGUGCUCGAGUGGCGAGCGGGUGAGUAACACGUGAGUAACCUGCCCUUGACUUUGGGAUAACUUCAGGAAACUGGGGCUAAUACCGGAUAGGAGCUCCUGCUGCAUGGUGGGGUUGGAAAGUUUCGGCGGUUGGGGAUGGACUCGCGGCUUAUCAGCUUGUUGGUGGGGUAGUGGCUUACCAAGGCUUUGACGGGUAGCCGGCCUGAGAGGGUGACCGGCCACAUUGGGACUGAGAUACGGCCCAGACUCCUACGGGAGGCAGCAGUGGGGAA